UCGGCAAGGAGGAACUCUGACCGAGCAACGCCGCGUGACGAUGAAGUAUUUCGGUAUGUAAAGUUCUUUUAUUGAAGAAGAAAAAAUAGUGGAAAAACUAUCUUGACGUUAUUCAAUGAAUAAGCCCCGGCUAACUAUGUGCCAGCAGCCGCGGUAAGACAUAGGGGGCGAGCGUUAUCCGGAAUUAUUGGGCGUAAAGGGUGCGUAGGCGGUUAGGAAAGUCUAUAAUUUAAUUUCAGUGCUUAACGCUGUCUUGUUAUAGAAACUACCUUGACUAGAGUUAGAUAGAGGCAAGCGGAAUUCCAUGUGUAGCGGUAAAAUGUGUAAAUAUAUGGAGGAACACCAGAAGCGUAGGCGGCUUGCUGGGUCUUGACUGACGCUGAGGCACGAAAGCGUGGGUAGCAAACAGGAUUAGAUACCCUGGUAGUCCACGCCGUAAACGAUGAGUACUAAGUGUCGGGAUAAAACUCGGUACUGAAGUUAACACAUUAAGUACUCCGCCUGAGUAGUACGUACGCAAGUAUGAAACUUAAAGGAAUUGACGGGACUCCGCACAAGCGGUGGAUCAUGUUGUUUAAUUCGAAGAUACACGAAAAAUCUUACCAGGUCUUGACAUGCUCUGCAAAGCUAUAGAAAUAUAGUGGAGGUUAUCAGGGACACAGGUGGUGCAUGGUUGUCGUCAGUUUGUGUCGUGAGAUGUUAGGUUAAGUCCUAAAACGAGCGCAACCCUUGUCGUUAGUUACCAGCACGUAAUGGUGGGCACUUUAACGAGACUGCCAAUUAAACAUUGGAGGAAGGUGAGGAUUACGUCAAAUCAUCAUGCCCCUUAUGAUCUG
Molecule: ribosomal RNA, 836 nt
Filed under: Candidatus Phytoplasma fraxini
Lineage: Bacteria; Bacillati; Mycoplasmatota; Mollicutes; Acholeplasmatales; Acholeplasmataceae
Description: bacterial SSU rRNA
Rfam family: Bacterial small subunit ribosomal RNA
Source: RNAcentral